Molecule: non-coding RNA, 87 nt
Organism: Mycena epipterygia
Lineage: Eukaryota; Fungi; Basidiomycota; Agaricomycetes; Agaricales; Mycenaceae
Source: the annotation of a GenBank genome assembly
GCACCGGUGGUGUACGGUACACACGUCGCUUCUACGGUUUGAAGUCGAUCAUCGCGACGAGGUGGGGUUCGACUCCCCGCCGGUGCA